UGUUUGACUGGCUCAUGCUCACAUAGAUGAUGUAUGAAAUUAUUAUUUCAUAUUUUUCUAGUGUUUGCAUUGCAAGUGACAUCUGGCUGACAGGAACUUGGAGAAAUGGGAUACAAAGUGAAUGCUGCAGUUACCACGGUAUCAUAUUUAUCAAAAGGCUUAAGAGUUCUUGAACAGGAGGUAAUCUGACACGAAGUGUAUUUACAGUAUUGGUAAGUGAUACAACUGGUUAUAUGAAUUUUUUUGACAGUAUUUAUUGAAGUGAAAUUGGCAGUCUGCAGAUCAGGAAAGCAUGGUGUAGGUUGUGCUCUAGAAGUAUUAGGAAGAUGAGAAAUACAGAUUUGGAGAAUGCAGCACAUAGCUGAAUGUCAUUCUAAUGUUGACAGUACACUUCCAAGACAUAAAAGUGUAUUAGAAAUGAGGCCUUUUUCUAUAUCAGCUCUUUCUUGAAUCUCUUCAUUGAAACACAAGCUUCCAGGUCUGUAAGUCAUUCUCUCAUGCCAGAUGGGG
This 510-nucleotide long non-coding RNA is filed under the name Parus major (Great Tit). RNAcentral's name for it is "lncRNA (ENSPMJG00000019415.1)". The record is from RNAcentral. Lineage: Eukaryota; Metazoa; Chordata; Aves; Passeriformes; Paridae.